RNAcentral lists this long non-coding RNA (3017 nucleotides) under Mus musculus (house mouse). RNAcentral's name for it is "long non-coding RNA chr12:31817875-31820892". Lineage: Eukaryota; Metazoa; Chordata; Mammalia; Rodentia; Muridae. The record is from RNAcentral.
UAAAAUCUCUAUCUGAGAUAAAUAUUCAGAAGUAGGAUUCGUAAGUCAUGUGCUAAUUCUUAUUUUAACAUCUCUAUGUGUGGUGCAAGUGCAUGCCGUGGUUAUCUGGGAAUUCCACACCCACUUGCCUAGUUUCUUGCCAUAAGAAGCACUGGGUUUACCAAUGUGCACUGCCACCGGCAGCUUUUUUUGUGGCUUCUGGAAUUAAGUGGCAGGGCCUCGUGCUUAUGUGACCAGAACUUGCCCCGCUAAGCCAUUUCCACAGUCCUACUGUCCUGUGUAAUGCCUAUGGUAUUUUACUUUCCUCUCAAAAGUGCUCUGUUUGUAGGACAUCCUUGCCAAAACCUGUUCUGUUUGGGUUUGUGGUUUUGGUUUUGUUUUCUGUUUGUAGCACAAGGAGUGUGAUAGUGACUGGACACCUGGUAGUACUGGCUCAGAGAAGGUACUGUAAUGACAAGCCUCUUCUCUCUUGCCUCAAUUGGACAGUGGCCAAUUUAUUAAUGGGUACAAUGUGUCUUUGUGACUCUGGUUUGCACUUCCCUGCUGGCUCAUGAUGUUGACCCUGCUGUUAUUUUAUUUGGGGAAACUUCUACUUAAUCCGUUUCUCUCAUUUUAAUCAGCUCUUCUUUUGUUGUUAUAGAUUAGUGUGUUCCAAGCAUUAACCCCUCAUCGUGACUGUGAUUGGCAAAUGCUCUUCCUAUCCAUUUGAUUUCAUACAGACUGUUUUUAUUUACACACCGACAUUUUUCAGUUUUAAUGCCAGAGUCAUGUCCAGGAAUUAUUGUGGCAUAUGUUGUCUUGGAGCUACGUCACAUUUUCUUUUAGGAAUUUUGCUGUUUUAAGUCUUGUUAUAGUCUUCAUUUUGAGUUAAUUUUUAUUAUUGUAUAAGGUACAGAUUCUGUUUCAUUUUUUUAGCAUGUGUAUAUCUAGCUUUCUCAGUAUGUUUGUUGAGCAGACAACACUUUCUUUGUAUAGCAUUGGUCCCUUGCUGUGGAACAUAUGACCAUGUGAAUGCAAAGCUUUGCAUUGUUUGCUAUGUAUUUGGUUCUGCUGGUCUUGUAUCUGAUUCUAUGCUAUAGUUUUGGUUUAAUUUUUACCACACUGAUAGUGUUUCAUUAUUAAAAUAUAUAUUAUAUGGUUAUUUUGAAAUUACUAUGUACAUACCUAGAAUUAAAAUACAUAGAAAUUAACAUAUGAAAUUAGUAUUUUUCUAUUUCAAACUUAGUAGGCUACCAGUGACAAGCAUACCAAAAUACCUUAGUAUAGUUGUUCAAAUUUCUUAGAAUGUAAUUUUAUUCUAAAAUGUAAUAUUUUUAAUUAAUAUUUUUGAGAUUUUUGAAAAAUUAUAUAUAUGGAUAUUUUGUCAGCAUAUACAGUAUGCACUGUGUGCAUGCAGUGUCUAUUGAGGUUGGAGGGCAGAAAGCAGUAUUGGAUCUCAGCCAUGUGCCUGCUGGAUCUUCUGGAAGAACAACCAGUACUCUUUAACUGCUGAGCCACCUCUCCAGCCCCUGUUUUCUUUUUUAAAAAUUCUGUGUAUAUCAAUACUUGCCCUUCCAUUUCAGUGUUUAGUUAUAAAACAUGCUCAAAUUUGUAUACAAAUAUCCUGAUAUUUUGAGUUAAUAAUAAUUCUGUCAUUUUUGUUUCUUUAUAAAAAAUCUAUAACAAGUCUUUGAGCAUUCUCUUUUAUAACGCUAACCAUGCUUGAUCUGUGUAUGCUUUGCCAAUCUUGUUACAGUCUCACAAAUUGCUUGUGGAUAUCAAAGGAUGAAGAUGAUAAUAGAUCCCAUUCAUCAAGGGUUUAUUGUAUGUCAUGUACUGGCCCAAGGCUUUAAUUAACCUCUGUAAUCUUCAUAGAGCAGUGCAGCGAUGGUUCUCCUGUCAGCUCGUCUUGUAGAUGAGGCGAUGAAGGCUGAGGAUGUCUACACUCCUCGCCCAAGGCCAGGGCACUAGGGUAGAAGAGCAGGAUAGACUAGCAAGUAAUUGCUUGGAUGUAAACAGCACUUGACUCUCUUUCUAUUGGUGACUUUACGUAUGCGUUAUGACAAAGUGUCUGUGAGUGAAUGUCACAUGUAUGUGGACACUCUGGAUAAGAGUUACCAAUAGUCAUGAGCCACCUGAUAUGAGUGCUGGGAACCUCUUGGGGCCUUGAGAAGAGCAAUUCUUGUUAUUACCUGCUGAGUAUCUUCCAACCUUUGUUACACAUCUUGAAAUAAACGAAUGAUCUCCUGUUCUGUAUCUUUGGUUUUCAGGAUGGACAGCCUGAAAUUUUAUACAUGUUUUGGAAUGCAGUCACCCUGGCACUUUCUUCUCACUUUCAUUCAGCAACAAACUGUAAGUUACCAUCCAUUUGGAUUCAUUUCAGAUGUUUAGUUACUUUAAAAUUUGAGGUCAAAAAUAUUGGUUCAUAAAAAUAACUUAUGUUAAAACUAUCAUCUUAACAUAAAUAAUGCUUAAUGAGGGAUCUCUUAGCCACUUGAUUAGUUUUACAAUUAAUAUUUAGAAUAAAAUUCUUUUUGUUGUAGUUGAGACAGGCUUUCUCUAUAUAACAACCUUGGCUCUCCUGAAACUCACUUUAUAGAUGAGGCUGGCUUCAAAAUCACAGAGAUCUACUUGCCUCUGCCUUCCAAGGACUGGAAUAAAAGGCGUGUGCCACCAGUCCCAGCUUAGAAUAACAUUCUUAAUUGAGCUGAGUAUUUCCUAUAUAGAUAAUUUAAAGCCAUUGAUGUUAAUUUAGUUAAUGCUUUACUAGAGUGAAUUCUUUUUUAAAUGAAGCUAUAAAAAUGAAAAUUUGAUACAAGUAAAGAUAGGAACUGUGAGUUACAAGUUGGUUGUUAGAAUAUGAUUCUCUUGGACCUAUCAGAUGGCUCAACAAGUAAAGGCACUUGCCACUCAAGGCUGGUGACCUAUGUUUUAUUUCAGGAUCCACAUAAAAAUAGAGAAAACUUACAUGGUUGUGUGAGAAGUGCUAUUUUUUUAAUAUGCAGAGCUAAAUAAGCUGUAUUGCUUAAAACCAAACC